GAUAAUUUACUUCCUCCAUAGAAAGAAAGUGGGGCAAAAGUAAAACAAUCAUGAAACAGAACAGCUCUCGGACGUCACUGUAUGCAUCUAAUGCAGAGCAGCAUAAAGAAAUUAACAAUUUAUCUCAUUGUCACAGCUGUAACUCCAAACAUGUUCGGAGAGAUAUAACCAGAGACAAAUAACUUUUAUUGUGCUGGAUCAAUCAAAUCAGAUUCAAUUCAAGAAUGUUGCGAAAUCAUGUAUGCUUGCAACAUUAUGUGUGCUUAUCAAAAAGUUUUUAUCAAAUUAAGAUACUUAGACAUACAUGUUAUGUAGGCUUCCAAGUACCUGUGGUACUAGAAGAGAACCUAAGUUAACCCUUAAUCCUCUUUAAUCUUCAUGUCACACAAUUUUGGCAUGGUUCAUGUUCAAUGCAACAACCAGGCCUCACCCAUCCCCAUCUUUUAUUAAAUGCAUCUGGUAAAAAGCAAGCCUUGAAAUAAAUCCUUGAGCCUUUAUUUGAAUCUCCAGUUUAGUAAAAAAGACAGAAAAUGGUUAAAAUUAAAGUUGUAAUUUUUCCUUUUUAUUUUCUUUCUUUUUGAGAUCCAAAUGGAACUACAGUUACUAAAAUCAAUUAUUCACUAUGGAUUUGCAAGCACAUUUUAUUGGCACAAAACAUGUUUCCUAAACAAGCAUACCAUAACCAAAUUGUCAUUGAUGCGUACAGUCCAUUGACAUGCUAUGUAAACAGCAUAUCAGGCAGGCCUACCACACAUACUCUACAUUUAUAAGAAAACAAACCAUGAAAUUAAAUAUCUGGCAUACUUAAUGGUAUUUCUCCCAGCGACAUGUAAAUGGAGUCAUCAUCACCAAGAUUCCCCUCUCCAUUAUGAAGACUCAUCUCAUUCUGCAGUGGAUUGAUGUCCUCUCUUACUGAAUUACAGUUUGAAAAAGUGUUGAGAAACUCCGAAAUCAUAAGACCAUCAUAGCUAUCUGGAACCUCACUUAUAUCUCCAGCAUUCUGUGCAUUAUUGGGAAACCCUUCUGUGCCAGUAAAUGUUGUUUCCUUUCGCUGUGAAUUAUCAAAAGCCUUAUCUUCUAAGCUGGAAUCAUUCUCCAAAUCAAUGACUUCAAUAUGUUUGCCAUUAUUUGCAUUGCUUAUUGACAAAUCAAUGUCAACCCGUGCUGCUUCCUCUUUGAUUGCUGGCAUAGACGGGUACACAAGUACUGGGUCAUUACAAUGAUAAUCAUUCAUAUCAGCAGCUUCCAUUAAAUUGAGGUCACAGAUCUUAAACGAACUCGGAAAAAGUUGUUUCUCUUGUGCAUAAUCAGCACUUGGUUCACCACCUGACUUUGGAAAUUGAUGACUAUUCACCAAGUUGUCUCGAGUGACAGCAACAAUCAUUGGAUGAUCAGGUGAUGCGUUCCCUGCUUGUGAACUAUCUUGAUUUUGACUUAAAUUAGAGAGAUGAAGAUGACCAUGAGCUGUGCUAACCAAGGAUGGAAGCCAUUCUCUCGUCUUCUUGGAUUCCCCAUUCAUGUCAUCUUCAGCAGUUCGUUUCUCACCUCUCUCCUUAACCGAUGUGGACCUUCCAAAGCCUGCAAUCCCCUGACUUGAUUCUUGUUCACUGUCACACUUAAAAGCUCUCUCUGGAAAGGAUUGAGACCUCAUGCAUUUACCCUGCCCAGAACCAUAUGGGGGGCCUACUUCUCUGAUAUCCUCAUUAGAAUGUGCAGGCACUAAUUUAGACAUUUCAGGAUCACAUUUUGAAUCACGAGUCAUAUUUGGUAGUGAAUCAGCUGUGGAGAAAUCAAGAGUGCCAUCUGGAACUGAGACUUCAGAUUCUUUGGGAGGCCCAAUAUCAGAUGCAUUUUCCUCUUCCUUAUUAGGAACUUGGUCAACCUUGGGGGACCUGUAUGUCAAUGCAGAGCGUGUUCUGGUUGGGACCUUCACAAAUUUGCAGAAUGUUAGUAAAUCAGAUCCAUGCUUGCUAGAGAGAUCACCCUCUACAGCACAGGGCUGGAUAGUUAAGUCCUCGGAAAUACUUUGUGUCUCAGUUUCAUGACCAUGAUCGUAGUCCAUCUCCUCAUUCCCAGAAUUCAAGUUUGUCAAAUCAUCAGACACCUUGGAAGGUUCCCCAUCAGUCUCAUCUUUCCCAUUGCUUAAAGAACUUGCCUUGGAACCCAUUUCAUCUGCAUUGUUGAACUCUGCUCCUGAUUCAAUAUCAGUUGCUUCCUCAGUUUCUAGUGCUGACGCACUCUGACCAAACUUCCCAUCACCAACAUCUUCACCGACUUGAUGCUCUUCAUAAUUUCCAGAAUUAGAGUCAUCAGGCCCCUCCAUAUCAAGAGACAUCCGAUUUCUAUCUGACCACGACCCACUCCUCCCAUAUUCUCUGCCCCACUCUGAACUAUAACUGCGAUGAUAAUACUCUCCUUUCCUCCUACCUCUUACAUGGCUCCUCGAAUUGAAGUCAUCAGAAUACCUUCUCCUACCUGCUCCAGCAUCAGAACCAACACUUCCUAGUCGGGAAUGGGCAGAUGUUCUGCCCUCCUGUGUAAGGUCCUCUUGUACCCUAAAAUCUUGAUAAUCUCCAGCUUGCUUCCUCAAACUACCAUUCUGCCACUUACCAGAAAGUGCAUUUUGAGGUAACAAUCCCUUGGAAACUAAAUAUUCGGCUGCAAGUCUACCAGCUUCCAUCAAAAUGUCUCCUUUGCGUGGUGGUGGCUGGGGUGGCUGUUGAAAAGUUUUGGGAUGGCCCUGGCCACGGCCAAAGCCACGAUUAUUGAAGCUUCUGUACUCAGAAUUGUAAAACCCAUGGCCUCUGGCUGAACUAUCUGGGGAUAUCCUUGAGGCACCCAUUCCCAUAGAACUAGACCUGUACCCAUUUCCAGGACUUCGGUGCCUAGCAUGCAUCUUUCUAUUCCUGAUCGUUCUCAAACACUAUUAAAUACAACAAACAAUCAAUUGAAAGCCAAGGACAGUAAGUGAAAAAAGCAGGUGCUUUUAGCUCCCAAAAAUCCAGGACCAGCAGUACAGAAAAAAGAAAUUGCAAUCCUCAAAUUAAGCAACUAACGUCUUCAAUUAGGUGCCCACAAAUAAACUAAUAUGGUUUUUAUCUGGUCAAAGACGAGCAAAUCAACCCAACAAUAAAUUAUGGAGCCAAAAUGGCAGCUACCGGGUGCUUAACAAUCAAUACAGGUAGUAAUCUAAUUCCUUAGUACUUUUGAGGUCAAGGAAUCAAGGAGUCAAAAUCAACCAAAUCCAAGAGUGAAAAACCAAGAAAUGAGAUACAUAAAAAUCAAAGAUGAUCUUGGCUCCAAAGACAGUAAAAUCUGACCUUUCCUUCGUUCUGUUUUGGGUCUUUACCAGAGGCUGUAUCUAUUUGUUUUUGAUGUCUGUCAACCAAGAAAGAAAGAAGAUCCAGCUCUGGUGAUUUUAGGGUUUGAGAUCCAAGCAGGCCAAAUUUAUGGCCACCCUCUCUACCUACCCUCAACACCUCACCAUCUAGACCCCAAAAAAUCCCCUAAACUUUCCAAUUGAAGACUUGUUAAAAUCUUCCACAAUUUAAAGGUGACAGCUUUAGGUCUAAAAAAAUCUGGCAGCAAUCAGAAAGUUUGAUGCUUUCUGCAGCCAAACACAUUCAUCCAUGGCCCUUACAGUAGCAGAAAUACCAUGACUUGCCCAAAAAUGAGAAGACUCGUGGCUUCUUUCAAUAGGAAAAUGUACCGGUAACCUGUAAAUUCCUGUUGCACAACACACCCCACACCUUUUUUUUCCUUUUGGGUAAAAGCAAGAAGAAAACAAAACAAAUAACAAACAAAACUAGAGAGCUUCAAUGCACAAGGCCAACACACACCACUCGAAUCCUCAUCCUUUCGCAAUUGGAUAAGAACGAUAACAAUCCCAGCUGAUGGAUUAUGUUAAUUCUGAGAUUCCUCCUCCUAUCCAACUCACAAUUUCACUUCAAUUUGAUUUUGUUCGAUACUAAUACUCUCCUUCAACUCCAUUGCUGCAAUGCUCUCUAUCCACACCCAUUUCGCGAUUCAACCUUGAUAUCAACCAAAAUAACGAAAUUGAGUUCUGACUUGUUGAUUUUCAGGCCAAAAAGGGUUCAUCGGAGCCAGAACUGUGAUCAGCGACAAUGUUGUCGAGUUUUAACUUAGGUCUGACUCAGCUUUCUCUACCUACUUCCACUCGGCAAGGAAAAAAUCGAAGAAAAAGAACAAGGAGAGCCGAGCUUGGAGAAACGAAAAUGGGUUUUGGCAUGUCAAAAUAUUACGAAAUUGCCCCUGGGGACUGCGGUGUCCAUUGAAAAAAAAAAAAUUGGCACGCGUCAGGCAAUUAGGAGCGUUGGUAAUUCCGCGACGGCAAGAAAGAAAAAUGGUUAGCACGGGAG
Molecule: unclassified non-coding RNA, 4379 nt
Filed under: Hevea brasiliensis (rubber tree)
Lineage: Eukaryota; Viridiplantae; Streptophyta; Magnoliopsida; Malpighiales; Euphorbiaceae
Source: RNAcentral